RNAcentral lists this ribosomal RNA (331 nucleotides) under uncultured Butyrivibrio sp. Its description in RNAcentral is "partial 16S ribosomal RNA". The record is from RNAcentral. Lineage: Bacteria; Bacillati; Bacillota; Clostridia; Lachnospirales; Lachnospiraceae.
GGAGUUUGGGCCGUGUCUCAGUCCCAAUGUGGCCGUCCGACCUCUCAGUCCGGCUACAGAUCGUUGCUUUGGUAGGCCGUUACCCCACCAACUGGCUAAUCUGACGCGGGCCCAUCUCGUACCACCGGAGUUUUUCACACUGUACCAUGCGGUACCGUGCGCUUAUGCGGUAUUAACAGUCGUUUCCAGCUGUUAUCCCCCAGUACGAGGCAGGUUGCCCACGCGUUACUCACCCGUCCGCCACUAAGAUUUAACAAGAUUCUGCCGAAGCUUCAUCAGCGUUAAAUCUCCGUUCGACUUGCAUGUGUUAGGCACGCCGCCAGCGUUCAUC